CGGACGGGUCGCAUCGGCGGCGAUGUUCGCUCUCGUGCUCG
RNAcentral lists this unclassified non-coding RNA (41 nucleotides) under Sorangium cellulosum So ce56. RNAcentral's name for it is "sce_s2m_5". Lineage: Bacteria; Pseudomonadati; Myxococcota; Polyangiales; Polyangiaceae. The record is from RNAcentral.